CGCAUCUGUGCAUGCAGCAUAUCAAUAAGCGGAGGAAAAGAAACUAACAAGGAUUCCCCUAGUAACGGCGAGUGAAGCGGGAAGAGCUCAAAUUUGAAAUCUUAAAGGGUUUCCCUUUACGAAUUGUAGUUUAAAGAAGUGUUUUCUGUUGAGGUUUUGGUAAAAGUUCUUUGGAAUAGGACAUCAUAGAGGGUGAGAAUCCCGUAUUUGACCUUUACUUUCAACUUUGUGAUACACUUUCAAAGAGUCGGAUUGUUUGGGAAUGCAGUCCAAAAUGGGUGGUAAAUUUCAUCUAAAGCUAAAUAUUGGCGAGAGACCGAUAGCGAACAAGUACCGUGAGGGAAAGAUGAAAAGAACUUUGAAAAGAGAGUUAAACAGUACGUGAAAUUGUCAAAAGGGAAGCGUUUGACACCAGUGUUGUUUUUCUGAAAAUCAAUUAAAGAACUGUUUAUGCUAAGCUGUUUAGACUUUAUCAGCUAUCUGUUUAGUUUUGAGCUUUUCUUUAAUGCACUUUUCAGUUAACAAGUCAACAUCAAUUUCUUUUGCUGUAAAAAAGCUUGAGGAAGGUGGCUUGAGAUUCGUCUUAAGUGUUUAUAGCCUCUUGCCUAUGCAGUCGGAGAGAUUGAGGUCUGCAGCGUAGAUCCUUCGGGGCUAAAUGCAUUUGUGCUAAGUUAUAGCAUUUUAUAGACAACUUGUUGACUAUGAUUUGUCUUGUAGCUUACUCGCUUAUGUUAUUUUACCUACGCUUAGGAUGUUGACAGCAGUAUAGACUGU
RNAcentral lists this ribosomal RNA (774 nucleotides) under uncultured Neocallimastigales. RNAcentral describes it as "partial large subunit ribosomal RNA". It matches the Rfam family "Eukaryotic large subunit ribosomal RNA", at positions 26 to 634 of the family's 3401-position model. Lineage: Eukaryota; Fungi; Neocallimastigomycota; Neocallimastigomycetes; Neocallimastigales. The record is from RNAcentral.